CUUCCCCCAACUCAGCUUGGUGUCGCAGACAGCCUGUCAGAGAGGUGGGAGGAGGGAAAUGCUCUGGCUCCUAGGUUGAGACCACUGUGUCCCCUCCCAGAAGGGCACAUCACCUAACAAGGAAGUUGGUUUGAAGAUUAGGAGCCAGAAGGGAAGGAAUUGAGGCUCCGAGAGGUCGAGGGCUUUGCCCAGUCACAUGGGAGGCAUAGAAGCUGAAUGCAGAUGUUGAUUUGGGGGCUUAUAGUAUGGAUCAAGCUGAACAGGGGACUUUAAUUUGAAAUUGCUUGGAAUCAAAAGGACCCAGGUCUUUACCUUACCCCCCUGGAAAACUGGACUCUACCUAAAGAAGCAACCUGGCCUUGGAUGAGUCAGCUUUGGCCUUAUUGUGCUCCCUUCCAGGACUCUACAGAACUUUCUGAACACUUCCAGCCCUGCCCCCAGUGAGUAUGCCAUUCUUUCCCUUUCCAGUUGUCCAUCUUUUAUCUAACCCAAAUAUAAAGUCAGCUGUUUGAGGGCAAGGACUGUUCUUUUGUUUUCUAAAUCUAGGAUCCCAAGAGUGUUAUUUUCCAGGCUUGACUUUGCAGUUGUUUCUGGUGAUGAAAUAUAUUCUUCGAGGAUGAAGAUAGUGAAAAGAAAAUGACUUUUAAGGCAAUUCCCAAAGAAGGCUGCUCAAACAUUUUGAAUACUGGCAGCAUCAUGGGCAUCUGUGCCUAGCUUCCCAAAAGGACCACUUUGAAGGUUAACAAUUUGGAUGAAUCUGUCCUGGUCAGUUUGUUAGAACAGUCUCAUUACUUUGGAGGCCCAGCUCAUCUUUCUUGUGGCUGUUAUAGGUGGACUAGUACCACAGAGAACACAUAGUCCCACACCUUGAUUUUACAGAAGAUGAAAUUGGUAGGUGUAUAUAUUUUAUCAGGUUUCUAAAUUCAAUCAAAUAUCAUGAAU
This 942-nucleotide long non-coding RNA is filed under the name Monodelphis domestica (gray short-tailed opossum). RNAcentral describes it as "lncRNA (ENSMODG00000042351.1)". Lineage: Eukaryota; Metazoa; Chordata; Mammalia; Didelphimorphia; Didelphidae. The record is from RNAcentral.